This 88-nucleotide transfer RNA is filed under the name Verrucomicrobiota bacterium. Its description in RNAcentral is "Verrucomicrobia bacterium tRNA-Thr". It matches the Rfam family "tRNA". Rfam says of the family: Transfer RNA (tRNA) molecules are approximately 80 nucleotides in length. Their secondary structure includes four short double-helical elements and three loops (D, anti-codon, and T loops). Lineage: Bacteria; Pseudomonadati; Verrucomicrobiota. The record is from RNAcentral.
GCCGGCGUGGCUCAGCAGCGACAGCCGCAGUUUCGUAAACUGCCGGGCAUCAUGCCCCACGAGGGUGCGAGUCCCUCCGCUGGCCCCA